RNAcentral lists this ribosomal RNA (450 nucleotides) under uncultured bacterium. RNAcentral describes it as "partial 16S ribosomal RNA". It matches the Rfam family "Bacterial small subunit ribosomal RNA", at positions 354 to 796 of the family's 1533-position model. The record is from RNAcentral.
GUGGGGAAUAUUGGACAAUGGGCGAAAGCCUGAUCCAGCCAUGCCGCGUGUGUGAAGAAGGUCUUCGGAUUGUAAAGCACUUUAAGUUGGGAGGAAGGGCAGUAAGUUAAUACCUUGCUGUUUUGACGUUACCGACAGAAUAAGCACCGGCUAACUUCGUGCCAGCAGCCGCGGUAAUACGAAGGGUGCACGCGUUAAUCGGAAUUACUGGGCGUAAAGCGCGCGUAGGUGGUUUUGUAAGUUGGAGGUGAAAUCCCCGGGCUCAACCUGGGAACUGCCUCCAAAACUGCAUGACUAGAGUACGGUAGAGGGUAGUGGAAUUUCCUGUGUAGCGGUGAAAUGCGUAGAUAUAGGAAGGAACACCAGUGGCGAAGGCGACUACCUGGACUGAUACUGACACUGAGGUGCGAAAGCGUGGGGAGCAAACAGGAUUAGAUACCCGGGUAGUCC